UUGUCUGUCCAUAUCCCGCCAGAUGCUGCCUGACCCCAAUAUCUGUCCUUCAAGUUCAAAUGUAUUGGUCACGUGCACCAUAAGGUGGAGUAAAAUGUCAUUUACCAUGCAGCGUUACAAUUGAAAAAGGACACAAUACACAACAUAAUUCAACACAGACAUCCACCACGGCAUUCUUCACUGUGGCGGAAGGUAAUACAGUUCAGAUAGUCCUCCUCCUCCACCUCCCUUGUUCACCC
This is a long non-coding RNA of Amblyraja radiata (thorny skate), 239 nucleotides long. RefSeq lists it as uncharacterized. The transcript has 3 exons. The record is from RefSeq and is a predicted model, not a curated record. NCBI's taxonomy places the organism in Eukaryota, Metazoa, Chordata, Chondrichthyes, Rajiformes, Rajidae.